RNAcentral lists this ribosomal RNA (1286 nucleotides) under Campylobacter coli. RNAcentral describes it as "bacterial SSU rRNA". It matches the Rfam family "Bacterial small subunit ribosomal RNA", at positions 112 to 1416 of the family's 1533-position model. Lineage: Bacteria; Pseudomonadati; Campylobacterota; Epsilonproteobacteria; Campylobacterales; Campylobacteraceae. The record is from RNAcentral.
AAGGUAUAGUUAAUCUGCCCUACACAAGAGGACAACCUUUGGAAACGACUGCUAAUACUCUAUACUCCUGCUUAACACAAGUUGAGUAGGGAAAGUUUUUCGGUGUAGGAUGAGACUAUAUAGUAUCAGCUAGUUGGUAAGGUAAUGGCUUACCAAGGCUAUGACGCUUAACUGGUCUGAGAGGAUGAUCAGUCACACUGGAACUGAGACACGGUCCAGACUCCUACGGGAGGCAGCAGUAGGGAAUAUUGCGCAAUGGGGGAAACCCUGACGCAGCAACGCCGCGUGGAGGAUGACACUUUUCGGAGCGUAAACUCCUUUUCUUAGGGAAGAAUUCUGACGGUACCUAAGGAAUAAGCACCGGCUAACUCCGUGCCAGCAGCCGCGGUAAUACGGAGGGUGCAAGCGUUACUCGGAAUCACUGGGCGUAAAGGGCGCGUAGGCGGAUUAUCAAGUCUCUUGUGAAAUCUAAUGGCUUAACCAUUAAACUGCUUGGGAAACUGAUAGUCUAGAGUGAGGGAGAGGCAGAUGGAAUUGGUGGUGUAGGGGUAAAAUCCGUAGAUAUCACCAAGAAUACCCAUUGCGAAGGCGAUCUGCUGGAACUCAACUGACGCUAAGGCGCGAAAGCGUGGGGAGCAAACAGGAUUAGAUACCCUGGUAGUCCACGCCCUAAACGAUGUACACUAGUUGUUGGGGUGCUAGUCAUCUCAGUAAUGCAGCUAACGCAUUAAGUGUACCGCCUGGGGAGUACGGUCGCAAGAUUAAAACUCAAAGGAAUAGACGGGGACCCGCACAAGCGGUGGAGCAUGUGGUUUAAUUCGAAGAUACGCGAAGAACCUUACCUGGGCUUGAUAUCCUAAGAACCUUUUAGAGAUAAGAGGGUGCUAGCUUGCUAGAACUUAGAGACAGGUGCUGCACGGCUGUCGUCAGCUCGUGUCGUGAGAUGUUGGGUUAAGUCCCGCAACGAGCGCAACCCACGUAUUUAGUUGCUAACGGUUCGGCCGAGCACUCUAAAUAGACUGCCUUCGUAAGGAGGAGGAAGGUGUGGACGACGUCAAGUCAUCAUGGCCCUUAUGCCCAGGGCGACACACGUGCUACAAUGGCAUAUACAAUGAGACGCAAUACCGCGAGGUGGAGCAAAUCUAUAAAAUAUGUCCCAGUUCGGAUUGUUCUCUGCAACUCGAGAGCAUGAAGCCGGAAUCGCUAGUAAUCGUAGAUCAGCCAUGCUACGGUGAAUACGUUCCCGGGUCUUGUACUCACCACGCGUCACACCAUGGGAGUUGAUU